GGGGUUGCGUAUACGGGGUUGUGGGAUCUCUCUUUCACGGUCUGCCGGCCGUGAGACGAGUCAGAAACCGUUGAUGUAGGCGAAGGACAUGCGAAAGGUCCGGCGUAGAGGGUAAGACCCCCGUAGUCGAAACGUCAGCGGCUCGUUUGAGAGACACCCAAGUAGCACGGGGCCCGAGAAAUCCCGUGUGAAUCUGGCGGGACCACCCGCUAAGCCUAAAUAUUCCCUGGUGACCGAUAGCGGAUAGUACCGUGAGGGAAUGGUAGAAAAGUCCGCGGGAGCGGAGUGAAAUAGUACCUGAAACCGUGUGCCUACAAGCCGUGGGAGCGUCGGAUGGAAGCUUGCUUCCAUCUCGUGACUGC
Molecule: non-coding RNA, 362 nt
Filed under: Streptomyces afghaniensis 772
Lineage: Bacteria; Bacillati; Actinomycetota; Actinomycetes; Kitasatosporales; Streptomycetaceae
Description: Bacterial large subunit ribosomal RNA
Rfam family: Bacterial large subunit ribosomal RNA
Source: Rfam by way of RNAcentral